GACCCAGGACACCCAGAAGCUGGAAAUGGACUCAGUGGCCUUUGAGGAUGUGACUAUGAACUUCACCCAGGGGGAGUGGACUUUGCUGAGUCCUUCCCAGAAGAAUCUCUACAGAGAUGUGAUGCUGGAAACCCUUAGGAACCUGGCCUCUGUCAAAGUCUGGGUGAGAGAUUCUGUGGACAUAAAGAAGGGAGUCAACGUGGUGAACCCUUCAGCCAGAUUCCUGAUUGUCACCUGAAAAAGAAAAGUCAUACUGGGGUAAAACCACUCAAAUGCUGCGUGUGUGGGAAAGUCUUCCUUCCUCAUUCACUCCUGGACAGGCACAUGACAACUCACGCCAGACAGAAACUAUACGAGUGUGAUGGGGAAUGGGGAGAGAAGCCCCGUAAACAGAAACAAUGUGGGAAAGCCUCCAUUUCCCCCAGUAGUGGUCCAAGGCGCACAGUAACACCAAUUCGAAAGAGACCUUAUGAAUGCAGGGUGUGCAGGAAAGCCCUUAAUUCUCCUAAUUUAUUUCAAAUUCAUGAAAGAAUUCAUACUGGAGAGAGGUCCUACAAAUGUAGGGAAAUCAUGAAAGCCUUUACUAUUUCCAUUUUCUUUCGAAAACAUGGACAAAUGCACACUGGAGAAAAACGCCAUGAAUGUAAGUACGGUGGAAAACCUUUUGAUCAUCCCAGUUUAUUUCAAACUCAUGUUACACUGGAGAAAAACCUCACAAAUGUAAGCAAUGUGGUACAACUUCAUUCGGACACAUGAAAUCAGAACUCACACGCUGGAGAAAUCCCACCAAUGUCAGGAAGGUGGGAAGAUACUCAGUCGUUUCAGUUCCCUUUGCAGACAUUAAAGGUCUAACAGUGGAGGAAAACUCUACAAACAUCAAAAAUAUGACCAAGUCUUAGAUGUCCCACGUCCCUUCAAGCACAUGAAAGAGCUCACACUGGAGAGAGACCUUGUGAAUGUAAUAAAUGUGGUAAAACCUUCAAUUAUCCCAGUUGUUUUCGAAGACAUGAACAAACUCAUAGUGGAGAAAAGCCAUAUGACUGUAAAAGGUGCGAUAUGGUCUUCGGAUGUGGCAAUUCCCCAAGGAGACAUGAAAUGACUCACACUAGAGAAAAACCCUUUGACUCUAAACAAUGUGAUAAAGUCUUUACUUUUUUAAAUCGCUUUCGACAACAUGAAAAAACUCAUUUAGCUGGGCGCAGACAGUGCUUUUGGAGGCAGACAGUGCUUUUGGAGGCAGGGGGAUCACCUGAGCCCAGGAGUUUGA
This is an RNA transcript of Piliocolobus tephrosceles (Ugandan red Colobus), 1267 nucleotides long. It is a transcript of the gene named zinc finger protein 101 pseudogene, with no coding region annotated. Lineage: Eukaryota; Metazoa; Chordata; Mammalia; Primates; Cercopithecidae. The transcript has a single exon. The record is from RefSeq and is a predicted model, not a curated record.